Molecule: ribosomal RNA, 253 nt
Filed under: uncultured bacterium
Lineage: Bacteria
Description: partial 16S ribosomal RNA
Rfam family: Bacterial small subunit ribosomal RNA
Source: RNAcentral
UACGUAGGGGGCAAGCGUUGUCCGGAUUUAUUGGGCGUAAAGAGCGUGUAGGCGGCUAGAUAGGUCCGUUGUGAAAACUCGAGGCUCAACCUCGAGACGUCGAUGGAAACCAUCUGGCUAGAGUCCGGAAGAGGAGAGUGGAAUUCCUGGUGUAGCGGUGAGAUGCGCAGAUAUCAGGAAGAACACCCGUGGCGAAGGCGGCUCUCUGGUACGUGACUGACGCUGAGACGCGAAAGCGUGGGGAGCAAACAGG